This 13096-nucleotide long non-coding RNA is filed under the name Brassica napus (rape). RNAcentral describes it as "long non-coding RNA (BNAP_LNC011008)". Lineage: Eukaryota; Viridiplantae; Streptophyta; Magnoliopsida; Brassicales; Brassicaceae. The record is from RNAcentral.
UCUCGUCCCCGCGUCCGUUGUCUUCGACCUCGGUGGUCGUAAUCUCUGGGUAGACUGCGACAGAGGUUACGUCUCCUCCACUUACCGCUCCACUCGCUGCCGCUCCGCCGUGUGCUCACGCGCCGGCUCAGACGGCUGCAGCCAGUGCUUCUCUCCUCCAAGACCCGGCUGUAACAACAACACGUGCAGCGGAACUCCCGACAACACUGUCACCAGAACCGCGACUUCCGGCGAAAUCGCUACAGACGUAGUGUCUAUCCAGUCCACCAACGGAUCCAACCCGGGUCGGAUAGUUCAAAUCCCCGACUUGGUUUUCGUUUGCGGGGCAACCUUUCUGCUCCAAGGACUCGCUAGUGCUGAUUGGCGCUAGUGGUCAUGCACCAGAAAAUUAGUCAGUUAGAUCUUGGGUCGCUGGAUAUCGGAUAAUAUGAGAAAAAAAAACAUUGUCUAUAAGAUAGAUGAUAAGAAAAAGAGUCUAAAACACAUGUCUAAUAAGUUGGUUGAAUUUAAAAUAAAACAUAUGUAACACCAACAAUAAAUUAUAGUCUGAACGAUAACUGAAAAAAAAUAAGAAAAAUGUUCAAUCUGCAUUCAUCAACAUGAUAAUAGACUGUACUAGGGUCGGGCCGCGCUAUGCGCGGAAUAUGCUUUACGUGUGAUAUAUAAAACUAUAAUAUUGUGUAUAAAAUAUUACCUUUUAUAUUUAUUUGUUUUAAGAAAAGUUUGGCUAUAUAUUAUGCAUAAAUCAUUAUUUUCGUUAUUGCUUUUCUUUUUUUUUAUCUUUGUUGCAUUAAAUUAAUUUUUAAUAUGAUUGUGUAGAUUGUUUUAGUGGGGUUAUGUUUUAUGUUUAUUUUUGGACUGUAAAAAGUUUAGUAUAUUUCAUUAAUGCUUUUUAGUUAAAUUGUUUUAUAUUAUGUCUUUGAUUCAGUAAGUGAAAUUAUAUAUAUAUAUAUUUUUUUUUCAUAUCACUGUUAGAUUUUUGUUAAAGAUUUGUUUUGUCGAACUGUGAAAUAAUUUUGAAAAGGUCCUACAGAGCUUCAUGUAAAAUUGCAAUAUAAAAAAUAUUAUUUAAUUUUUCUUACAAAGAUAAAAAAAAUGUAUCUAUCACAAAGCAUUAUGCAUUCAUACAAGCUUCACUAAUAUAACUAAUUAGAUAAAGUAGAAGAUAAAGCAUUAUAUAUAACAUUAGUUUAAUUUAUUUUCAUUUUCUACUAUCUGACAAAAGUAUUUAACAUUAGUAAAAGUUCACUAAUAUUUAUUGUAAGUUAUUUUUAUACCUAAAUAAUAUACUAUGACAUAUUCCCUCUAUUCACAAUAAGUGUUGUUCAAAGUUUUCUCACAAGAUUAAGAAAACUAGUAUUUUUGUUUUAUCUUUUACCCUUUUUAAUACAUUAUUCUGUUUAUCUUUCGUUAGUUAAUGAAUUAGAAAUAAGGGUAAAACCUGGAAAAUUCAUCUAAUAUAUGCAUUGAAAACAUAAAUGACACUUAUGUUAAAUGACACUUAUGUUUUCAUUAUGUACAAAGAAAAUUUAAAUAUUAUGCAUAUAGAUUAAUCAUUUUCGCAUUAAAUACAAAGAUAAGUAAAAUGUAUGAUAAAAUAUUUAUAAUAGUGUAUUAUAAUUUUAUUUGCUUCAAUCAAUUUACAUAAUAUUUAAAAAAUUAAAAAAUAUAUUUUAUAAACCAUAAAUAUGGCUAUAAAUAAAAUUUCACAUUUAUAAAUAUAAAAAUAGAUAGCUAAAAAAUAAUUCGUGUAAAGGUAUAAGUAGAAAAUCAAAAAUGUUAUUUUAUAUAAAUUUUCAGAAAAUAAAAUUUAAUUAAAGUUUAAAUGUAUUAAAUGUAGUAUAUAUAAUAAAGUGAAUUCUUUUAUUGCGAAGUCCUUGUUAGAAAUAAAGGAAUUUAUUUUUCUGCUAGUCAAACUAAUAUUUUUUAUUACCUUAAUAAACCCAAAAGAGAAAAGCAUUUCUAUAUACUGAACAUUCAUUGUAGUCAACAAAUUAUAAUUCCUUAGUCAAAGUUAUACAAUCAUACGUAUCUAUGUAUCAAGUAUUAAAUGUAGUAUCUUUAUAAAUAAAGUUGACAUAUCUGUUUUCUCAGCCGUCCACGUUACUUUGGAGAGGAGGGUUUUUUCGCCACGUGCCACUCUUAAACACAAGCUGAAAUUACGUUUUGUUCCCAAUGUUUGUACUGGUCUUUCUGAUUGCCGAUGGGCUUUGUAAACAAAUUUUUUUUAUUGCAGAUGGACUUAAACAAAAUGGAAAAAGACGUUAAGACUUAGGUUUCCUCUUCCUCUGGUUCCUCUUCUUCUUCUUACGGACUAAACUUUCGAGAUGCCUUUCACCUCCCCGUAACGUCUAAAAUGACCUCUUCCAUCCCACAGUAACAUGCUGAAGGUUAUAAGGUGCGACGAUGGCCACCACAACUCAAACGAGAUCGAGAAGAAUAGUUUGUUCUAACAACCAUUACUGUACAUCCGGGACGAUCAGCAAUUAGUAUCAAACGCAGAAGAAUGAAUCAAAAUUCAGAUCGUAAGAAACAAUUAUAAAGUCCAAGAGAUCUAGACAUUUGAUAUACCUUCGGUUUAGUUUUCAUAUGUUGACAGGAUUCAAUCAAGAUGGCGGAUUACGGACUCCAAGGCGGAGAGGAGUUUCGGAGGAGGCGGAGCAGAAGCUCCGUGGUGAUUACAUGUCGUCGUAUUUUGUGAAGUUGAGGCCAUUGGAUUUUAAUCCUAACCAAAGCUGUAACUUUCUCAGCCUUCCUUCACCCUAAUUCGGCAUUGUGUAAUGAAGCGAUGCAAGUUGCGCUAGCACUGUGUUUCAAAGAGUCCGGCUAGGCAAGGCGGUUGUUGAUUCCGUUGAGAAUGCAGUAUUGUUUAUCGGAUCCAUGGCAAUACUUUUUGUUUGUGUUGUUAGGAUUGUUGCACACGUGAUGAACUUAUUCACAUAUGGAAGCGAUGAAGCAGAAGUUCUUGCACAUGAGGAGCAGCGAAUUUAGGUGAAAUAACAUGGAAGAGCUCCAUAGAGUUGUCUAUGAUCAAGUCUUUCUUCUCAUUCUUUGACUUGUCAGGUACCGUUUCUUUUAUCACUUAUCAUGUACCUUCUUCCUGUAAAAAUAUCAAUCUAAAGUUGCAGAGAACUUGUCCAUGUUGGUACCUGUUGUGUAUUCUUUAUGUUUGGAUUUUUUUCAGAUAGCUUCUGCUUAUCUACCAUCUUGCGAGAAACAUGGAUUACGCUUAUCAGAACUGUUGUUCUGUUGGCAGCCAGAUAAAGAAAAUCAGUUGCUUAUUUAAGUUACACAUAUUACCAUUCUCUAUUGUUGCUUUAAAUCUUAAGAUCUUGUCUGAAGGCUUCACAUGGUUAUUACGUUUCUCCUGAUGCAGAGUCUAGAGAUUUGCCAUCUAUAUGAAUUUAGUAAUGCCAGCUCUAAACUUAUAACAGGAUUGACACACUUGUGUUUUCUUAUCUCAAAAGUUGCUGAAAAAACAGAUUCCAUCUGAAAUAAGUUAUGAUACUUAGAUCUCUGAAGUGCAUCACUGAAAACAUGUGGAAGAAGGGUCAGGGAUUUUCCGGCUUCAGCAAGCCCGGGCCGAGCACUGUCUAAAAGUGAUGGUUGUCAAAAGCUGUUUUAUUAUGUUGGAAAAUCAGUGUCCAAUAAAAAUCUCAAGGUAUAUAUUCACCAAGUCAUACUCCAAACAUAUUUUCUUAUGUAUUUGCCCUUUUUAGUUCAUACUUUAACAUGCAGCAAUAGGAGGGUCUGGUGGAGUUGCUGGGUUUAGAAUCACAAAUCUCUGGCAAUCUUGAUUUUCUUUACAAGUAUUAGUCAUCGAUCUCUUCUGCGAUAAUGAUUUUUGGUUCUGUAAUCACAUACGAGCUCACUUUUUUCCUUUCAUUUGGCUGCUUAGACUUGAUGUAACUUAUGAUUCUAAUGAUUUAAAUUCCCGUCAGCUUAUAACACCACCUUUAUGUUAUUUAACGAUGACCAUUAACAAAACAAACAACCGCCAACUACACUCACCUUCACUGACGGUCUUGAGAACACACACAUCAACAAGAUUCCAACUUCUACAAAACUCUUCUCGCAUUCAGCUACAAACUAUUGCUCUGUUCCUUAUCUCUUAUAAAUCUUGCAUUACAGUUUAUAAAGGAAAAGAAAGCCUGAGAUUGGUCACGGUUCAAGAAAUAUUUAAUAGGGAAUUAUUUUUUAUUAUUAUAUUAGUAAUUAUUUGUAAUUAAUAAUUAUUUAUAUUGGUAUUACAUAAAAUAAUAAAGUGUUAUAUUUUUUAGCAAAAUAAUAAUAAUAAUAAAGUGUAUAAUUUAAAAUCACAAAAAAUAAUUUUAUUUGUAUGAUAAAUAUAUAUCUGUAGUAUUUUUGGCACAAAUAUAUAUAAUUUUUUUUUAUUAAUACAUAUUCUAAGAAAUAUUAUGCUAAACAAGUGUUCAAUUUUUCACAAUAUUAGAUGUGACAUCAUGAUGGACAAAACCAGUAUUUUGACCUUAUAUAUUUACAACAAUAAUUAUAUGUAAUUGAGAGCACUAUAAUUUUAAUUUUGUAUCUAAGUUAAAACAAUAAGAGUUCAUUGAUAUAUAUACUGAGUUGACUUUUCUUAUAAGAGCAAAAAGGUUAAUGAAAAAUUAGUCAACAGAGUUUUAAAAAUAUAAAAUUAGCCAACAAAUAAUAAUUUAGUGACAAUACAUAAUAUAAUUCAAUAAUAUAAAAAUUCCAAUAAUAAAAGAAACUUUUAUAAAAACAAAAGGGUGGAAAAUUUAUUUAUGAUAUUGUCUUUUUAGUUUCAUCAAGUUUAAAUAGUUAACAAGAAAAUGAUUCAACCAAGAACCAAAAAUUAACAUAUAAUCAUAACAAAAAAAAAAAAAAAAUUCAAAGUUGAGAAAAUAAAAUAUGUUAUAAUAAAUAAAACAAAAAUAUAACACACAAAAUAAAUGUGAUUUCUUAAAAAAAAAUCAAGCAUAAAUUUAAUAUUUAUAUAAAUAGUACAUAUUUGCAGAGUCUAAACGGAAAACCGCAUUAUAAAUUUUUUUGACAAGAAACACAUAAAAUAUAAAUAAAAGUAGAUGACUUAACAGAAAAUAUAUUAAAGACUAAUCCAUAAAAAAAAGAACAUAGCUCUAUUAAACCAUCUUAACAACCUCAUUAGGAAAUUUAACUUGACUCAACGAAAUAAAGUUAAAUAUUUUACCAUCAAACAAUUUCAAUAGAAAGAAGUCAUGAAAAAUAAACAAGAAUAAUGAUACAUACAUAAUUUAUAAAAUACCAAUUCAAAAUUGUGAUGCUCUCUUACAAAUCCACACUAAAUAUAAAUAUUUAUAGAUAAUCUUGAUAAAAAAUUAAAAAUCUAACGUAAGCAAACAGUCAAUUCAUCACAAACUAUUGAUUCAAUAAAUCAAACGAUUCUGAAAUAAAUGGUCCUUUAAACAAAAUGUUACAAGAAGCCAAAAAAAAAUCGAUAACUUAAACUCACCUUACGCUGCUUACAACUUUGAACUCACACAAACAACCAAAGAAUGUAUAACGAAUUACUUCUUUCUUAUGAGUUCUCUCAUUAGACAAUUAGUCACAGCCACUUAUUAUAUUCUACUUUGAAUUAAGCAACUUUAAAACAUAAAUUUCAAUAGAAAGAAGUCAUGAAAAAUAAACAAGAAUAAUGAUACAUACAUAAUUUAUAAAAUACCAAUUCAAAAUUGUGAUGCUCUCUUACAAAUCCACACUAAAUAUAAAUAUUUAUAGAUAAUCUUGAUAAAAAAUUAAAAAUCUAACGUAAGCAAACAGUCAAUUCAUCACAAACUAUUGAUUCAAUAAAUCAAACGAUUCUGAAAUAAAUGGUCCUUUAAACAAAAUGUUACAAGAAGCCAAAAAAAAAUCGAUAACUUAAACUCACCUUACGCUGCUUACAACUUUGAACUCACACAAACAACCAAAGAAUGUAUAACGAAUUACUUCUUUCUUAUGAGUUCUCUCAUUAGACAAUUAGUCACAGCCACUUAUUAUAUUCUACUUUGAAUUAAGCAACUUUAAAACAUAAUAAUACACUACGGUCGAUAACCAAUAUCAAAUUGAUCAAAAAAAUAUCAUUUUCUUUCAACAUAUUUUUAUUUUCAUAUUUUGAGCAUAUUUUCUUUAAUAAGACCAUAAAUAAAUUGUAAAUUCAUGUGAAAAUAAAUCAUAUGAACCCGGCGCGUAGCGCCGGAAUACCACUAGUAUAUAAUAAAGUGAAUUUUUUUAUUGCUAAGUCCUCAUUAGAAAUAAAGGAAUUUAUUUUUCUGCUAGUCAAACUAAUAUUUUUUAUUACCUUAAUAAACCCAAAAGAGAAAAGCAUUUAUAUAUACUGAACGAAUUCUUUUAUUGCUAAGUCCUCAUUAGAAAUAAAGGAAUUUAUUUUUCUGCUAGUCAAACUAAUAUUUUUUAUCACCUUAAUAAACCCAAAAGAGAAAAGCAUUUCUAUAUACUGAACAUUCAUUGUAGUCAACAGAUUAUAAUUCCUUAGUCAAAGUUAUACAGUCAUAACUCAUACGUAUCUAUGUAUCAACUACCAUUUCCAUGUUCCAAAAACAUUAUAUAAGAAUCUGAACAAUCAUGUAAAAGUUAUGCAAGCUUUACUUAUCUACAAACUCAAAUUAUAAAGUAAUAGGCAAAAGACAUGGCAGCAUCAAAAACAACCAUCUUUAUUGUUUUAAUCAUUUGUUCUCAAUGUUAACUCCGUUCUUAUAUAUUUUCUUAUAUGUAUAUUAAAUAGAAUUAAUAGACCGACAAAACUAAGAUAUUUCAAUAUUUCAAUUAAUAGGCACAUUAUUAGUGAGUGUCUCUGGACAAGCCAAAGGAUCUUCAUGCUCGACAUCAACUGAUUGCGAGUUGCUGUGUUUUGGAGAAAAAGGGAGAGUACGUCAGGAAUGUGUGCACGGAAAGUGCAGUUGUUUGGAGCAAAAAACCGAAACAGAACUGGCCAAGACCAUAAGUUGCAAAACGGACCCUGAUUGUCCCGAUUCAGGAUGCCCUGAAACCUAUUUUUACCUAUGUAUUCGUGGAAAAUGUACUUGUAUAACAAAAUAAGUUAAUUGAUUGAAAUAAUAAACUGUGACUCCUACCAUAUAUAUAUAUAUACAUAGUCUGUGCCUAGGGACCACACAUGUGAUGAACGAGUGUUUCAUGAUGCUCGUUUGAACCAAACUCCCCCGAACCAACCAAUCGUAGGUCCCUGAAGAUUUAAAUGAUGCCAAGUAUCAGCUAAGGGAGAACGGAGCCUAAUUCUUCCACCAUGAGCGCGAAGGCGACAAACAGUCCUUUAUAACUCAAAGGUCCACCAGUGAUAUAUGGUGUUUUUGACAUCAUUAUAUAUAUGUUUUCAAAGGUUUUUCAGUUUUCUGCCGAGUCUGUCUAGAUCAUACAAACCACGUGGUGUGUUAAGUGGAGAGAGAGAAUUUGGAAAAAUAACUCAAAAAAUUAGUCUUGGUAAAAUCCGGCAUUCUCUACUAUGUGGCAUGUUUAAAAUAUAUAUAUAUAUACAUUUAGUAGUUAUUUUCUUUUCACAUAUAUAGUUUUGAUUAAAUAAAAUCUUUUUUCUAAAAGUAUAUGGGGUCUAGCUUGAUUCUAAUGUUAUCCAGUGCGAGUUAGAGACGCAACAAGUCAAGAGCCUUUAGUGUAGUAUUAUCAACUCUCAAGUAGUAUAUUUUUAGCAUUUUAUCAUUGCAACUCUUGGUUGGUUUUUAGCAUAUUACCAAAUGGAUUGUUAACUUAAGGGGCUGUUAUUGAAUCUAGUAAUUCAAAGAAUUGAAACUGUUGUAAUUUGAAUUUGGGUGCAAAAAUAUCCACGUUUCAGAAUACAUGCUUUCUGGCGGUUUUAAUUAAGAAUCAUAAAAAAUAUUAAAAGAGAAGCUCUAACAUGUCUGCAGAUUACCGAAUGAGAACAUAACAAUUACUAUCAACAAUUAAACAUAAUAGAAACACCAAAGCAUGUUAGAAUUUGUCCGGGUCUUCUUUUAUACGGGUUUGGAUUAUUUUAUGAUUAGUUACAUCGUAGGAGACCCGUAAAGAGAAAGCAUAUUUGAAGUCAUUCAAAAUUCAAAUAAGAAGUGUCGGAUUUGUUUACUCAUGUUUUCCAUACAAAUUACACAAAUUUCAUUGAAACUGACUUUUAAUAAAAUCCAAUGGAUAGUGAAGAACAUAUAAUUUUAAUUCAUUUCAAAUUACAUAUAUCUACCAAAUACUCCCUCCGUUUUUUUAAUAUAAGCUGUUUUAGAAUUGUGCACAUAGAUUAAGAAAUCAUUAAUUUUUUAUAUUUUCCAAACAAAAACAUCAUUAAUUAUUUACCUAACCACAAAUCAACUAAUAAUAAAAUAGAAGGUAUAUUAUCUUUAGUCAUAUAACAUUAAGUGUUAAUAAAUUUUACAUAGAAAACCGAAAACGUCAUAUAAUUUGGAACAUAAAUUUUUUUCUAAAACUACUUAUAUAAAAAAAAUGGAAGGAAUACUCAAUCCAAUAAUAUUAUAUUUCACUUUAGAUUCGAAGUCCCAUUAAAUUCCACUGACUUCAUUAAUUUAAGAGUGAAUUGGUUAAAAACCAUAAAGAAUACAUUAAUUAGGAAAAUGUGUACAACAACGAAAGAUGAAGUUAGAAUGUAGCAAUAGAAAAAGGGAAAUUACCAUUAGAACUUCAGGAAAGUUUUCCAGCAUGUAGAAAUAUACGUUAAGCACUGACAUACAAAUACAGCUUUAAAUAUCAUGGCAGCUACAAAAUAUCUAAACAGAUUUAAUGCAUUAAAUGCAGUUGAAAUAGUGAAAUUCUAGGUUGGACAUUUAGAAUAUAAAUAAUAAUCUUUAUCCUGCAUGGAUUGAUAUUGGUCCAUCAGAAAGAAGGUUAGCCAUUUGUACUUUUUCGGGUGGUCGAAAUAGCUCGCUUUGGUCGGGUUUCAUGCUACUACGACCAACUCCAAAUCCAACACGAACAUGGGACUUCUAGCUUGACUAGGAUGCUCCUCAUAGUCAUUAGGUUGAAUAAAAUUACCUUGACAAACCCAUUUGUAGCCGGAUCCAUCCUUGUCCAUUUGUAAUUUUUAAGGGCUUUGAUCGAACAGUCCGGAUAAAGAGAUGAGCCGGUUAGGAUAAUAUCACUCAUAUUUUAUCUAAGGUUUAAACUGUAUACCUUCUUAUUUUAAACAUCUUUCAUUUGUAACGUAGAAUUUCCUUUAAAGCAACUCUCUCUUUAUCUUUAUUCUAGUAUUACCUUCCAUCACGGAGGAUUAGGAUCAAAGCAUGGAUCAAUAUUUCAGUGUCAUCUAUAUUAUAUGAUUACAAAAAUAUAAUAUUUAUCAACAUAACAACAUAAAUUAUUAUUUUGUCACAUAUUUUCUAAACAUGGAUAACAUAUUAGCACAUAAACUUAAAUACAAUGUAUAAAAGUACAGAUUUCAUAGAGCGUGAUUAAUCUAUAAAUUUAUGUAAAAUGUGAUUAAAUAUCUUAAAUGAAUAUUUGUCUGCACACACGUAUUCAUAUUUAAGUAAUAUAUCUGCAGAAAAUUUAAUAUGAUUAGUAAAGUUAACAAACCUUAAAUAAUAUAUACAUAUAUACUUAGAAAAUACAAAUCAACCGUACUCUCAUUUUUAUGAUUCUCUUUUAAGUUGUUUUUCUAUCAUGUUUUGCUUCACAAAAGCUUUUUCAAAAAAGAUUUUUUCAUAAAAGCUUGAAUUGUAGAUCUUUCUUAUAUAAAAAAAUGUUUAUAAAGCUGAUUUUCAUCUAUUUAAAUAGUUUUAAAUAUCAUAAUUAUAAAUGUAAAUGCGUCUCUGAAAAAAAACCUUGAUUUUCCAUUAUGCUAUAAAAAUAAAGCUACAAAAUAGAAGUAUAAUCUGAUAAAAUCUUAAAGUUAACUUAUUCAGAAGGAAUGAUGUAGAAUUAUUUUCAGAAAAAGAGAAGGAUGCAGAAUAAAGAUCUUUGCUAUACAUAAAACUUAAAAAAAAAAAAAAACCCCGACGUUGGUGGUCGAGUGGCGUGAGGCGGCUCGUAAUGGUCCUAAGGGCCGCGAGUUCGAAUCUCCCCCUCAGAUUAACUCCUACGCCGGGCCACCCGGGCCCACCCUGCUACUUUUGGGGUGGAAAUGACGUGGCUGCUGCGGGCCUCGAGGGAUGUUUGGGCCCCGGCCUGGGACCCUCGGUUAACAAAAAAAAAAAAAAAAAAAAAAACUAAAAAAAAAAAAAAAAAAAAAAAAAAACUUUGAUUUGUUGGUUAGGUGGUGGAAGAGAAAUCAUGCUGGCUGAGGAGAAAUCCAGUCUUGGAGUGGUUAAUACAGAUUUCACAAAUCACAUCUCUUAUCUCUCUAUCUCUUUUCAUCCCUUGUUUGCUUGGAAAAACCAUCGGGUUACUUGAUUUGUUCUCUUAGAACUUUGAGAGAAACUCUUGUGUGACCACUUAAAUCUGAGAGAAACACGUGUGUGGGUGAGGAUAAACACUUGAGAGUGUGAGGAUUAUUUUUAUCUGUUAACCUUUUGUGUUAAGAAUUUUCAGGUUAAGAUGUUUGAAGCUGACCAAAGAAGGCUUUUCAGUCAGUUUGAAGUCCGGGAGUUUUGUGACAACCUUGUGGAGGGUGUGGUGAAAGCCCUCAAAGACGUCAGUAAGAUCCAAAAGAAGAGCACAACCACACGUGCAUCUGUAGCUAAGCAAAAAAAAAAAAACUAAAAAAAAACUUACAAAAAGAUGGAAUGAUAAAGAAGAAGAGGAGAGUAAAAUUAUAUAAAACUAAAAAUUGUUUAAAUAAUAUAUAUAUGAGAUGAAACCGUUGAUAUAUAGAACGUGACAUGAUGAUAGAUACAGAAAAAAAAAAGAUUAAAUGUUUUCAGUGACGAUAAAAUGAAGCAAUGGUUUGUUUUUUUUUCAUACUUUCUUCGUUGUUAGUGAUUUCUCUUCUAAAACAUUAAUGUUUCCUCAAGUUUUGUCAAUGAUUCAUCUUCUUUCACAUAUGUUUUCUCUAUCUAUGGCAUAUAUGUAACAUAAUAUUUUAAAAUAUAGUCGAUAAAAACAGACGGAAAAUGAAUCUAUAAAUUUUUAUGUUAUUUUUUAAAAGACUUGUAGUUGCACGAAAACUUGGAGUUGAUUACUCAGAUUUUCCAUCACUAAUAAUAACGAUGAAGCACUUACUUCUUCCUUUUGAUAACAUGAAUACGUGAUAUGGCUCUUGGGGUUUGAUACUUCGGUAACAAAUUAAAAAAAAACAUUUUGGUUAUAGAUAAAACGUAGAAAAGAAAACCACUACAUGUGGAAAUUAUAUAGGAGAAAAAAGAAAACAGUUUGAUGAUAAUAAAAAAAUAACGUCGGAUUAAAAUUAAGAGAAAAGUUAGAAAUUUGGGUAGUUGAAAAUUUGGAUUGCAUUAAAAUAGAAAAUGAAAUAAAAAAAGAAUUUGCACUCCCUAUACACAGUAACUAAGUAAUUUGCAAAAAUGGAACUUCUACUGUUUAUUUUUCAUAAUGCUACUGAUGCCCCUACUUAUCCUAACAUACACCUAUAAACUCAUUGUAUUUAUUUUUAUUUAAAUCAUUUUCAUAUCAGUUGCUCUUAAAAGAAAAGAUGCCUACGGUUUUGGGCGACAAGAUAGACGAUUGUCAGAUCCAAAACUUUUGACGGCGCUUCACGACAAAACCAUCGUAACUUUAUCUCCUACGCAAGAAAGACUACCCCACACUUCUUGCUAGGUUUUGUAAGGUUAUAGCUGCUAUAAUAACUCGAUUUCUAGCGUUUUGCUACGUUCUUUUCACUCUUGCCAAGAAUUAGAUCUUUUGUAUUUCAAGCAACCCUCACGUUUAUCUUUGAAAUCCACAGCUAAGCUGGUGGUGUCUGCCCUUUUUCGAAACAAUGAGUUCACAAUCCAACCUAAUCCGCCAAGGAGGGAAUCCUGCCGAGACAAGACGCCAUCUGGACCCAACGGAGGAGGACGAGAUCAUCCGUAUCCCAACAUGCGAUCUUACUGCGGCGUUUGAAAGCUUCAAAAGAACCCUAAUUGGAAGAGUUCUACACAGAGGAGGCAGAAGUGUUGAAGCGAUGAUUGCCCUUCUCCCGAGAGCUCGUAUCUGGAAUGUGGAAGGGAGAGCUCGUGGAGUUAAUCUGGGCAAUGGCCGUUUCCGUUUUGAUUUUGAUAAGUAGGAAGAUCUUAACAUGGUGUUGAACGAGAGGCCAUGUCAUUUCAACCACUGGAUUUUUGCUCUGGAACGUUGGGAACCAUCAACAAGUGAAAAUUUCCCCAACACGAUCCCCUUCUGGAUCAAGAUCACUAGGGUCCCAGUCUACUUCUGGAAUGAUGAUACUUUCAGUGCGAUUGCAAAAGCUCUGGGAAAAUUUUGGAUAUUGAUGCAAAGAAUGCUCGUAUCCAAGUCUCCAUCGAUGCUGAUAGACCUCUUAAGUCUCUCACUAUAAAUACCACACAGAAACCUUCUUCUUCAAAUCAUCGUCUUACAAUGGCGUCUUCACCUUUCAUCUCCGUUCUUCUUCUCUUGAUCAUCUCACUCUCAUCAUCCUCAUUUGCUCAACCAUCAUUCCGACCAAAAGCUCUCGUUCUCCCUGUCACCAAAGACCAAACCACCCUCCAGUACACCACUGUCAUCAACCAGCGCACUCCUCUCGUCCCCGCGUCCGUUGUCUUCGACCUCGGUGGUCGUAAUCUCUGGGUAGACUGCGACAGAGGUUACGUCUCCUCCACUUACCGCUCCACUCGCUGCCGCUCCGCCGUGUGCUCACGCGCCGGCUCAGACGGCUGCAGCCAGUGCUUCUCUCCUCCAAGACCCGGCUGUAACAACAACACGUGCAGCGGAACUCCCGACAACACUGUCACCAGAACCGCGACUUCCGGCGAAAUCGCUACAGACGUAGUGUCUAUCCAGUCCACCAACGGAUCCAACCCGGGUCGGAUAGUUCAAAUCCCCGACUUAGUUUUCGUUUGCGGGGCAACCUUUCUGCUCCAAGGACUCGCUAGUGGAACCGUCGGUAUGGCUGGGAUGGGACGCCACAACAUCGGUUUACCGUCUCAGUUCGCCGCCGCGUUUAGCUUUAACCGGAAGUUCGCCGUCUGUCUCACUUCCGGUAGAGGCGUCGCUUUCUUCGGUAACGGAC